CAUGGAGGGUGAGAAUCCCGUUCGGCUGAUCAGGUUUCGUUUACGAUCCGUCCUCAAAGAGUCAAGUUGUUUGGGAUUGCAGCUUAAAAUGGGAGGUAAAUUUCUCCUAAGGCUAAAUAUUGGCGAGAGACCGAUAGCGAACAAGUACCGUGAGGGAAAGAUGAAAAGAAUUUUGAAAAGAAAGUUAAAUAGUACGUGAAAUUGUUGAAAGGGAAACGAUUGAAGCCAGUCGUACCUACGGGUAAUCAACCUUUCGAGCGUGAUUAUGUGGCGCGUGUUGAGUUUAACCCUUCACGCCUGCACAUUCGUGCUCCUUGGGUGUACUUACUCGUGUGGUAGGUUAACAUCAAUUUCGGUGGUCAUAAAAUGACGGGAGGAAUGUAGCUUUGGUCUCGUGCUGAAGUGUUAUAGACUCUGGUAGAUGUGACGAUCGGGAUUGAGGAUUGCAACGAAUACCCCUCGGGGCUAUCCGUCUGAUCUCUGAAGGUUACUCUGGUGCCGAAAGCGUGCUUAUGGUAUCAAAGUUAUCCGUCAAAAGGUUAGAACGCGAUUAAAUUCGUUAAGGAUGUUGACGUAAUGG
RNAcentral lists this ribosomal RNA (580 nucleotides) under uncultured Glomus. Its description in RNAcentral is "eukaryotic LSU rRNA". It matches the Rfam family "Eukaryotic large subunit ribosomal RNA", at positions 204 to 637 of the family's 3401-position model. Lineage: Eukaryota; Fungi; Glomeromycota; Glomeromycetes; Glomerales; Glomeraceae. The record is from RNAcentral.